This 498-nucleotide ribosomal RNA is filed under the name uncultured bacterium. Its description in RNAcentral is "bacterial SSU rRNA". It matches the Rfam family "Bacterial small subunit ribosomal RNA", at positions 28 to 526 of the family's 1533-position model. The record is from RNAcentral.
GACGAACGCUGGCGGCGUGCUUAACACAUGCAAGUGGAGCGACGAACCAGGGCUUGCCCUGGGGCAGAGCCGCGAACGGGUGAGUAACACGUGGGUCACCUACCUCGAUGACCGGGACAACCCGAGGAAACUCGGGCUAAUACCGGAUGUGCACUUCGGUGGAAAGGUAGCUUCGGCUUCCGCAUCGAGAUGGGCCCGCGGCGCAUUAGCUUGUUGGUGGGGUAACGGCCUACCAAGGCGACGAUGCGUAGCUGGUCUGAGAGGACGAUCAGCCACACUGGGACUGAGACACGGCCCAGACUCCUACGGGAGGCAGCAGUGGGGAAUCUUGCGCAAUGCGCGAAAGCGUGACGCAGCAACGCCGCGUGGGGGAAGACGGCCUUCGGGUUGUAAACCCCUUUCAGGAGGGACGAAGGUUCGGCGGUGAAUAGCCGUACGGACUGACGGUACCUCCACAAGAAGCCCCGGCUAACUACGUGCCAGCCGCCGCCGUAACAC